This 340-nucleotide ribosomal RNA is filed under the name uncultured Bacillota bacterium. RNAcentral's name for it is "bacterial SSU rRNA". It matches the Rfam family "Bacterial small subunit ribosomal RNA", at positions 28 to 351 of the family's 1533-position model. Lineage: Bacteria; Bacillati; Bacillota. The record is from RNAcentral.
GAUGAACGCUGGCGGCGUGCCUAACACAUGCAAGUCGAGCGGUAUAUACUGGAACGAAACUUCGGUCGAGGGAAGGUAUAGAGAGCGGCGGACGGGUGAGUAACGCGUAGGCAACCUGCCCCAUACAGAGGGAUAGCCUCGGGAAACCGGGAUUAAGACCUCAUGACACCGAGGAUCCACAUGGAACUUCGGCCAAAGAUUCAUCGGUAUGGGAUGGGCCUGCGUCUGAUUAGCUGGUUGGUAGGGUAACGGCCUACCAAGGCGACGAUCAGUAGCCGACCUGAGAGGGUAAUCGGCCACAUUGGAACUGAGACACGGUCCAAACUCCUACGGGUGGCAG